AACUUUUGGCAAUGGAUCACUUGGCUCUCCCAUCGAUGAAGAACGCAGCGAAAUGCGAUACGUAAUGUGAAUUGCAGAAUUCAGUGAGUCAUCGAAUCUUUGAACGCACAUUGCGCCCUUUGGUAUUCCGAAGGGCAUGCCUGUUCGAGCGUCAUUAUCAUCCGUCAAGCCUGGCUUGCUGUUGGAUCUCACAUCGGUUGAGAUGGGUCCGAAAGAUAAUGACGGUGUCGUCAACGACCCCAGGUGCAACGAGCUUUAUAGCACGCACGGUGGUGGUCGGCCGGCCCGGUCUUAACUAUAUUUAUUCUCAAGGUUGACCUCGGAUCAGGUAGGAAUACCCGCUGAACUUAAGCAUAUCAAUAAGCGGAGGCU
Molecule: unclassified non-coding RNA, 372 nt
Filed under: uncultured Ascomycota
Lineage: Eukaryota; Fungi; Ascomycota
Description: sequence contains ITS2
Rfam family: 5.8S ribosomal RNA (bases 1-154)
Source: RNAcentral